UACGUAGGGUGCUAGCGUUACUCGGAAUCAUUGGGCGUAAAGGGUGCGUAGGCGGAAUUAUAAGUCAGGUGUGAAAGCCUUGGGCUCAACCCAAGAAGUGCAUUUGAUACUGUAAUUCUAGAGUACAGGAGAGGAAGGUGGAAUUCCCGGUGUAGAGGUGAAAUCCGUAGAUAUCGGGAGGAAUACCAGAGGCGAAGGCGGCCUUCUGGACUGACACUGACGCUGAGGCACGAAAGCGUGGGGAG
RNAcentral lists this ribosomal RNA (245 nucleotides) under uncultured bacterium. RNAcentral's name for it is "partial 16S ribosomal RNA". It matches the Rfam family "Bacterial small subunit ribosomal RNA", at positions 524 to 768 of the family's 1533-position model. The record is from RNAcentral.